GAUCAAUUGGCAAACCCACAUUAGAUUUUGCCUCACAUCGAUGUGAACUGAAUAUCUUCAACAAAAUCCAUUUCCAUAAUGUCAUCAGACCUAAACAAGAGCCAGUCUACGACGAUUUUACUACCAGAAGAUGCAACUGAAUCGAAGUAUAAACUUAAGAUUUGGAACAGUUCAUUGAAUCUUUUAGUUCAUAUGUUAAUUGGCGUGAUUGUGGGAGUGACAGUGUUAUUUGUAUUCAGUUAUGGAGUACCUCCCAAUUGGGUUAUGCUACAUAUGUUGCUUUGUGUUAUUGGGUAUCAACUUCUCAUGGCGGAAGGUAUACUUAGCCUGUGUCCAGACAACGGAUGGUCUUCUUUCAUGACACUGAGAGACAAAAAGCGAGCGCACUGGAUUUUGCAAGUUCUUGGAUCAGCUCUUGCCAUUAUUGGCACUGUUAUGGAAAUCACACAAAAGAAAGUACACUUUAAGUCACUGCAUGCACAGUUUGGUCUAGUGGCCAUGAUAUUCACAAUACUAUCCCUGAUCAACGGACUGACUUCGUUAUACACAUACGAGCUUCGAAAGUUCAUAUCACCGAAACUGUCAAAAAUUACCCACAGCGUGUUUGGAUCCAUAGCCUUUCUUACUUCGUCCAUCUCCUUAUGUUAUGCUUUUAAUAUGAGAUGGUUUAGAAAUUGGGUGGCCAUUGACGAAUUAGCUGUAACGCUUAUUGUAUUCACUGCAUUACUGACGUUUAUUGUAAUGGUUAAUCCAUUUGUUGUAUUGUACGUUAAAUAUUUUCCAAAUAAAAAAUAAUGUCCUAUCGUGAAAAUAAAA
This is a long non-coding RNA of Plodia interpunctella (Indianmeal moth), 816 nucleotides long. RefSeq lists it as uncharacterized. The record is from RefSeq and is a predicted model, not a curated record. Lineage: Eukaryota; Metazoa; Arthropoda; Insecta; Lepidoptera; Pyralidae. The transcript has 3 exons.